This 240-nucleotide long non-coding RNA is filed under the name Lathyrus oleraceus (garden pea). RNAcentral's name for it is "Pisum sativum (pea) long non-coding RNA (PSAT_LNC019246)". Lineage: Eukaryota; Viridiplantae; Streptophyta; Magnoliopsida; Fabales; Fabaceae. The record is from RNAcentral.
AAAAGGAUAAAAUAUUAAAAAUACUAAAAUGGAGAGAGAGAGAGAGAGAGAGAGGGAGAGAGAUUUUCCCCUUCAUCCAAAUUGCACCCCUCAUAUCUCUUUACUCUCUCUUCAACUCAAAUAAAAAAACAUAAUUACUAAAAAGAAAAGAAAAGCAAAAUAUAAAGAAAAAUGUUUUCUUCGUUAACACCUUCGGCUAAGCUUCCUCUUUUCACCACCAUACCCUUCACCACACAAAAA